This 253-nucleotide ribosomal RNA is filed under the name uncultured bacterium. RNAcentral's name for it is "partial 16S ribosomal RNA". It matches the Rfam family "Bacterial small subunit ribosomal RNA", at positions 524 to 776 of the family's 1533-position model. The record is from RNAcentral.
UACGUAGGUGGCAAGCGUUGUCCGGAUUUACUGGGCGUAAAGAGCGCGCAGGCGGUCGUCCAAGUCGAAGGUGAAAGCCCCCGGCUCAACUGGGGAGGGUCAUUCGAUACUGUUCGACUCGAAGGCAGGAGAGGGAAGUGGAAUUCCGGGUGUAGUGGUGAAAUGCGUAGAUAUCCGGAGGAACACCAGUGGCGAAGGCGACUUUCUGGCCUGUUCUUGACGCUGAGGCGCGAAAGCUAGGGGAGCAAACGGG